UCUAGUGUCCUAGGCGUAGAGGAACCACACCAAUCCAUCCCGAAUUUGGUGGUUAAACUCUACUGCGGUGACGAUACUGUAGGGGAGGUCCUGCGGCAAAAUAUCUCGAUGCCAGAA
This 117-nucleotide ribosomal RNA is filed under the name Triticum aestivum (bread wheat). RNAcentral also lists the same sequence under 1 other name. Lineage: Eukaryota; Viridiplantae; Streptophyta; Magnoliopsida; Poales; Poaceae. The record is from RNAcentral.